UACGGGAGGCAGCAGGGGGAAUAUUGCACAAUGGGCGCAAGCCUGAUGCAGCCAUGCCGCGUGUAUGAAGAAGGCCUUCGGGUUGUAAAGUACUUUCAGUCGUGAGGAAGGUGUUAAGGUUAAUAACCUUAGCAAUUGACGUUAGCGACAGAAGAAGCACCGGCUAACUCCGUGCCAGCAGCCGCGGUAAUACGGAGGGUGCGAGCGUUAAUCGGAAUUACUGGGCGUAAAGGGCACGCAGGCGGUUAAUUAAGUUGGAUGUGAAUCCCCGGGCUUAACCUGGGAAUGGCAUUCAAGACUGGUUAGCUAGAGUCUUGUAGAGGGGGUAGAAUUCCAUGUGUAGCGGUGAAAUGCGUAGAGAUGUGGAGGAAUACCGGUGGCGAAGGCGGCCCCUGGACAAAGACUGACGCUCAUGUGCGAAAGCGUGGGGAGCAAACAGGGAUUAGAUACC
RNAcentral lists this ribosomal RNA (451 nucleotides) under uncultured bacterium. RNAcentral's name for it is "bacterial SSU rRNA". It matches the Rfam family "Bacterial small subunit ribosomal RNA", at positions 340 to 786 of the family's 1533-position model. The record is from RNAcentral.